RNAcentral lists this long non-coding RNA (999 nucleotides) under Homo sapiens (human). RNAcentral describes it as "HSALNT0133313". Lineage: Eukaryota; Metazoa; Chordata; Mammalia; Primates; Hominidae. The record is from RNAcentral.
AAACAUCAGACACUGGGGCCUGUUGUGGGGUGGGGGGAAGGGGGAGGGAUAGCAUUAGGAGAUAUACCUAAGGUUAAAUGAUAGUUAAUGGGUGCAGCACACCAACAUGGCACAUGUAUACAUAUGUAACUAACCUGCACUUUGUGCAUAUGUACCCUAAAACUUAAAAAAAAAAAAAAAAAAAAAACUGCCCAAAUGAGGCCAGGCAUGGUGGCUCACGCCUGUAAUCCCAGCACUUUGGGAGGCCAAGGCAGGAGGAUCAUAAGGUCAGGAGAUCGAGACCAUCCUGGCUAACAUGGUGAAACCCCGUCUCUACUAAAUAUACAAAAAAUUAGCCGGGCAUGGUGGCGGAUGCCUGUAGUCCCAGCUACUUGAGAGGCUGAGGCAGGAGAAUGGCAUGAACCCAGAGGCGGAGCUUGCAGUGAGCCAAGAUCGCGCCACUGCACUCCAGCCUAGGCAACACAGCGAGACUCCGUCUCAAAAAAAAAAAAAAAAAAGAAAAAGAAAAAAACAGAAAGAAAAAUAAUUAGGGAAGCAUUAUGCUACACGCAGGCAAAUAGAUUUCUCUGUUACAAUACUUUCCCCAGGCUUUUCAUGAUAAGUAGCAUAAUGAAUAUCCAAAAACACAGAGGUUAUAUUGAAUUUUUAUGGCAUGUCUUUGCUAUUAGGCGGCUGUGUUCCUAAAACAAACGUCACAUGUUUGGCGUUUCUCCCUAUCCCUAUUAUCCAGGAUUUACUGACAUUAUUUAGGUACACAGUUAGCCAGCAAUAUCCUGAAGCUAUCUGAAAUCCACAAAGCAUUGUAUGAAUCAUGGCCAUGAUGUAAAUAAAACAAUAUCUUAAACUCUAAGUGAAAAUAUUCUUCUCAAAAAGUAAAGCAAAAAUAUUUCAGAAUCAUAAGCUCAGAGGAUAAGUUUAGAAUUCCUGGUUUGUUUUUUUUGUAAAUUUGCUUGAGUUCUUUGUAGGUUCUGUAUAUUAGCCCUUUGUCAGAUGGGUAGA